RNAcentral lists this ribosomal RNA (517 nucleotides) under uncultured bacterium. RNAcentral describes it as "bacterial SSU rRNA". It matches the Rfam family "Bacterial small subunit ribosomal RNA", at positions 791 to 1308 of the family's 1533-position model. The record is from RNAcentral.
UAGUCCACGCCGUAAACGAUGUCGACUAGCCGUCGGGCACAUCUGGUGCUUGGUGGCGUAGCUAACGCGUUAAGUCGACCGCCUGGGGAGUACGGCCGCAAGGUUGAAACUCAAAGGAAUUGACGGGGGCCCGCACAAGCGGAGGAACAUGUGGUUUAAUUCGAUGAUACGCGAGGAACCUUACCUGGACUUAAAUGUGCGUUGCAUAGAUCAGAGAUGGUCUUUUCUUCGGACUACGUACAAGGUGCUGCAUGGUUGUCGUCAGCUCGUGCCGUGAGGUGUCGGGUUAAGUCCCAUAACGAGCGCAACCCUUAUCCUUAGUUGCCAGCGGGUAGAGCCGGGGACUCUGAGGAGACUGCCACCGUAAGGUGUGAGGAAGGUGGGGAUGACGUCAAAUCAGCACGGGCCCUUAUGUCCAGGGGCUACACACGUGUUACAAUGGACGGUACAAAGGGGCAGCUACCUGGUGACAGGAUGCUAAUCUCUAAAGCCGUUCUCAGUUCGGAUCGAAGUCUGC